RNAcentral lists this unclassified non-coding RNA (244 nucleotides) under Lambertella sp. RNAcentral describes it as "partial contains small subunit ribosomal RNA, internal transcribed spacer 1, and 5.8S ribosomal RNA". The stretch from base 1 to 46 matches the Rfam family "Eukaryotic small subunit ribosomal RNA", at positions 1786 to 1831 of the family's 1831-position model. Lineage: Eukaryota; Fungi; Ascomycota; Leotiomycetes; Helotiales; Rutstroemiaceae. The record is from RNAcentral.
AAGUCGUAACAAGGUUUCCGUAGGUGAACCUGCGGAAGGAUCAUUACAGAGUUCAUGCCCUCUAUGGGUAGACCUCCCACCCUUGUGUUAUCAUUACCUUUGUUGCUUUGGUGGGACGCACGCCUGUGCCUCGGGCUCUCGCGCCUGGGUGUGCCCACCAGAGGAAACCCAAACCCUUUUUGUCAGUGUCGUCUGAGUACUAUAUCAAUAGUUAAAACUUUCAACAACGGAUCUCUUGGUUCUG